Molecule: ribosomal RNA, 285 nt
Filed under: uncultured Streptococcus sp.
Lineage: Bacteria; Bacillati; Bacillota; Bacilli; Lactobacillales; Streptococcaceae
Description: partial 16S ribosomal RNA
Rfam family: Bacterial small subunit ribosomal RNA
Source: RNAcentral
CGAGCGCAACCCCUAUUGUAGUUGCCAUCAUUCAGUUGGGCACUCUAGCGAGACUGCCGGUAUAAACCAGAGGAAGGUGGGAUGACGUCAAAUCAUCAUGCCCCUUAUGACCUGGGCUACACACGUGCUACAAUGGUUGGUACAACGAGUUGCGAGUCGGUGACGGCGAGCUAAUCUCUUAAAGCCAAUCUCAGUUCGGAUUGUAGGCUGCAACUCGCCUACAUGAAGUCGGAAUCGCUAGUAAUCGCGGAUCAGCACGCCGCGGUGAAUACGUUCCCGGGCCUU